This 1393-nucleotide long non-coding RNA is filed under the name Homo sapiens (human). RNAcentral's name for it is "HSALNT0241570". The record is from RNAcentral. Lineage: Eukaryota; Metazoa; Chordata; Mammalia; Primates; Hominidae.
CUCUACUGAAAAUAUAAAAACUAGCUGGGGCAUGGUGGCACACACCUGUAAUCCCAGCUACUUGGGAGGCUGAGGCAGGAGAAUUGCUUGAGCCCGGGAGACGGAGCUUGCAGUGAGCUGAGAUCACGCCGCUGUCCUCCAGCCUGGCUGACCAAGCGAGACUCUGUCUCAAACAACAGCAACAACACAAACCUUUAGAAGAAUAAAUAAGAAAAUGGUGGCACUGGUUACCUGUUAGGUCUAGGAAUUGUUCAGGUAGAGGACAGAGUAGGAAGGAGACUUCUCAUUGCAUUAUAUCUUUUUACACUUUCUGAUGUUUGUAUCAGAUUUUAAAAAUUAAAUAGAAAAUUGAAAAUUUUAGCGUGGGCCACCGUGCCCAGCCGAGAGAAUAGUUCUUGAACAGUGGUUGAGGGGAUACACACGCAAAAGGGCCCAUAAUCUAGGACAUGUGUUCUCUUGGGAUCUUCAAGAAUUUUGAAUUUAUAGAUGUAUAUUUCUAGUAUUGAACUGCAAAGUCAGGCAUUAAAAAAUUUAACUUGGCCAGACGCGAUGGCUCACGCCUGUAAUCCUAGCACUUUAGGAGGCUGAACAGGCAGAUCGCUGGAGCACACGAGUUUGAGAACAGCCUGGGCAACAUGGCAAAACCCCAUCUCUACUAAAAAUACAAAAGAAAAUUAGCCAGGCAUGGUGGUGUGCACCUGUAGUUGCAGCUACUUGAGAGGCCUAGGUGGGAGGAUGGCUCGAGCCUGGGAGGUGGAGGUUGCAGUGAACUGUGAUUGCGCCCCUGCAGUCCAGCCUGGGUGAUAGAGCCAGACCUUGUCUCUUGUCUCAUUAAAGAAAAAAAAAAAAUUAACUUGUUCUUAAAGUUUUAGUAAAAACAGGUUUUCAUUGUAUAUCCCCUUAAGUUAGCAAUUAGAUAUAAUCUCAGCAUUCUUCUUCCUUUUUUUUUUUUUAUGAGACAAGAGUCUCGCUUUGUUGUCCAGGUGAUCUUGGCUCACUGCAACCUCCACUUCCUGGGUUCAAGUGAUUCUCCUGCCUCAGCCUCCCAAGUAGCUGGGAUUACAGGCACCUGUCACCAUGGCCAGCUAAUUUUUUUUUUAUUUUUAGUAGAGAUGGGGUUUCACCAGCUUGGCCAGGCUGGUCUUAAACUCCUGACCUCAGGUGAUCCACCCGCCUCGGCCUCCCAAAGUGCUGGGAUUACAGGCAUGAGCCACCGUGCCCGGCCUAAUCUCAGCACUCUUAACCGUGUGACUUUGGGCGAUUUUCUUAAUCUCUCUGAGAUUCAGGUUCCUCCUUCAUACUGGAAAUAAUAACACUUACUUCAGAGGACUUUUGUAUUAUAUCUGUAAAGGACAUAGGGCAGUGUUUGGUUCAGUGGACUACUACUGUUCUU